GACGAACGCUGGCGGCGUGCUUAACACAUGCAAGUCGAACGGAAAGGCCCUGCUUUUGUGGGGUGCUCGAGUGGCGAACGGGUGAGUAACACGUGAGUAACCUGCCCUUGACUUUGGGAUAACUUCACGAAACUGGGGCUAAUACCGGAUAGGAGCUCCUGCUGCAUGGUGGGGGUUGGAAAGUUUCGGCGGUUGGGGAUAGACUAGCGGCUUAUCAGCUUGUUGGUGGGGUAGUGGCUUACCAAGGCUUUGACGGGUAGCCCGCCUGAGAGGGUGACCGGCGACAUUGGGACUGAGAGACGGCCCAGACGCCUACGGGAGGCAGCAGUGGGGAAUAUUGCACAAUGGGGGGAAGUCUGAUGCAGCAACGCCGCGUGCGGGAUGACGGCCUUCGGGUGGUAAACCGCUGUCGCCUGUGACGAAGCGUGAGUGACGGUAAUGGGUAAAGAAGCACCGGCUAACUACGUG
This 468-nucleotide ribosomal RNA is filed under the name uncultured bacterium. Its description in RNAcentral is "partial 16S ribosomal RNA". It matches the Rfam family "Bacterial small subunit ribosomal RNA", at positions 28 to 507 of the family's 1533-position model. The record is from RNAcentral.